Molecule: small nuclear RNA, 190 nt
Organism: Hyla sarda
Lineage: Eukaryota; Metazoa; Chordata; Amphibia; Anura; Hylidae
Product: U2 spliceosomal RNA
Exons: 1
Source: RefSeq, a predicted model, not a curated record
AGGGCAUUUUUCCCGAUUAUCGGAUCAGAUCAAGUGUGGUAUCUGUCUUAUCAGUUUAAUAUCUGAUAUGUCCCCAAUUCAGAAACCAUAUAUUGAAGGGAUUUUUUGUCUUUUUGCUUCCGCUGCCCUUGGCAGGUGACACAUAGUCCUGUUUAUGGGGGUUCAGUGCACCCCACAUAUUGGACUGUUU